AGGGGUAUAGGAAACCGGUGCCUAGAGAGGUGAAGAUAGGUGAAGAGAGUUUCCUGCAGUGACCUUGAAAGAAUUCUGACUCCUGGACCAGUUUGUGUACCAGAGGAGACACAAAGAUAUAGAAGACAGCAUUCCUCCCUAGAGGUGCUCACAGUGAGAGAAGACAGGAUGAAAUGAUAUUCCAUCAAAAACAGAUGUUAUUUCAGCAGGAGUUGCCACAGUGACAACAAUUGGGUGUGAAGAUAUCAAAGAAUCAUCUUCUUGUACAGUUGGGAGCUGAUGCCCUUGAAGAGAAAAUGGAGCAUCUACAAAGUUGCCCAGAGCCACAGCCAUUCCCAUGUAGAGAAUUUGGUGCCUCAGUCACUUUGCACUAAUAGUUUAUUAAAGGAGAAGCAUAAAAAGAAAUAGAGAAAUCAGUUUUGGGUUGGUCGGUUUCCUUAUUGUCAUCAUUUUAUCCCUGCAGACAUCUAUAUGAUUGUUUCAUUUACAGUUUUUGUUAACACCACUUAAGCUUAUUAAUAAAGCACCUCUGCUAUUGGUAGAAGUAUCAUAUCUGCACCAUCUUGAUUAU
Long non-coding RNA from Canis lupus familiaris (dog), 571 nucleotides. RefSeq lists it as uncharacterized. Lineage: Eukaryota; Metazoa; Chordata; Mammalia; Carnivora; Canidae. The record is from RefSeq and is a predicted model, not a curated record. The transcript is spliced from 4 exons.